UACGGAAGGUGCGAGCGUUAAUCGGAAUUACUGGGCGUAAAGCGCGCGUAGGUGGAUUGGUCAGUCAGAUGUGAAAGCCCCGGGCUCAACCUGGGAACUGCACCUGAUACUGCCAAUCUAGAGUACGGUAGAGGGUAGUGGAAUUUCCUGUGUAGCGGUGAAAUGCGUAGAUAUAGGAAGGAACACCAGUGGCGAAGGCGACUGCCUGGACCGAUACUGACACUCAGAUGCGAAAGCGUGGGGAGCAAACAGG
RNAcentral lists this ribosomal RNA (253 nucleotides) under uncultured bacterium. Its description in RNAcentral is "partial 16S ribosomal RNA". It matches the Rfam family "Bacterial small subunit ribosomal RNA", at positions 524 to 776 of the family's 1533-position model. The record is from RNAcentral.